This 371-nucleotide ribosomal RNA is filed under the name uncultured bacterium. RNAcentral describes it as "bacterial SSU rRNA". It matches the Rfam family "Bacterial small subunit ribosomal RNA", at positions 527 to 896 of the family's 1533-position model. The record is from RNAcentral.
AGAGGGGGCAAGCGUUAUUCGGAAUUAUUGGGCGUAAAGGGCGCGUAGGCGGCUUUUCAAGUGACGGGUGAAAUCCCUCGGCUUAACCGAGGAACUGCCUGUCAGACUGGAAGGCUUGAGACCGGGAGAGGUGAGUGGAAUUCCCAGCGUAGCGGUGAAAUGCGUAGAUAUUGGGAGGAACACCAGUGGCGAAGGCGGCUCACUGGACCGGAACUGACGCUGAGACGCGAAAGCGUGGGGAGCAAACAGGAUUAGAUACCCUGGUAGUCCACGCCGUAAACGAUGAGUGCUUGGUGUAGCGGGUAUCGACCCCUGCUGUGCCGAAGUCAACACAUUAAGCACUCCGCCUGGGGAGUACGGUCGCAAGACUG